AGAGCUGUUCAGCCUUUUGGGGAAGCUCAGGUGUAAUGUGUGUUCUUGCUAGUUUCACAUCUGGUAUGCCCUUGCUGCCAGGACUCGCUGUGAAGUGGCGUUGUGGAGUCAGGAGGUGACUGUGGAGCUUGCUGAGCUGCUCCACAUACUGCCCUGGGAUCGAUCGCAGUACCUCCAAGUGCACUGUCUACCCU
This is a non-coding RNA of Anas platyrhynchos (mallard), 194 nucleotides long. The record is from Rfam. NCBI's taxonomy places the organism in Eukaryota, Metazoa, Chordata, Aves, Anseriformes, Anatidae.